Long non-coding RNA from Clupea harengus (Atlantic herring), 372 nucleotides. RefSeq lists it as uncharacterized. The transcript is spliced from 3 exons. NCBI's taxonomy places the organism in Eukaryota, Metazoa, Chordata, Actinopteri, Clupeiformes, Clupeidae. The record is from RefSeq and is a predicted model, not a curated record.
UAACUUCACCCCACGUGAGCUAAACCGUACCACGCGCAGCAAGCCCGAACCGGCUCGGUAGGCAACGUCAGAGAAUAGCAGGCAGGUACAAACAACAGAAGUGGUAUUGGAGACGCAGUAAAGCAACUACCAAGGAGUCAGUCCUGAAACGAUUCAAGAAAGAUGGCGGACGACCCCACCGCAGCAGACAGAAACGUGGAGAUCUGGAAGAUUAAGAAGUUGAUCAAAAGUCUUGAAGCUGCCAGAGGGAAUGGCACGAGUAUGAUCUCUCUCAUCAUUCCUCCGAAGGACCAGAUUUCUCGAGUGGCCAAGAUGUUGGCUGAUGAAUUUGGCACAGCCUCCAAUAUCAAAAGCAGAGUCAACCGGCUCUCU